RNAcentral lists this ribosomal RNA (1484 nucleotides) under uncultured Flavobacteriales bacterium. RNAcentral's name for it is "bacterial SSU rRNA". It matches the Rfam family "Bacterial small subunit ribosomal RNA". Lineage: Bacteria; Pseudomonadati; Bacteroidota; Flavobacteriia; Flavobacteriales. The record is from RNAcentral.
AGAGUUUGAUCAUGGCUCAGGAUGAACGCUAGCGGCAGGCCUAAUACAUGCAAGUCGUACGGUAUUCCGGUUUCGGCCGGGAGAGAGUGGCGGAUGGGUGCGUAACGCGUAUGCAACCUGCCCGGUACAGGCGGAUAGCCCCCGGAAACGGGGAUCAAUACGCCGUGUUGCGGUUUUCCGGCAUCGGGAUUCCGCCAAAGCCUUCGGGCGGUACCGGAUGGGCAUGCGUGGGAUUAGCUUGUUGGGGGUGUAACGGACCACCAAGGCUUUGAUCCCUAGGGGACCUGAGAGGGCGAUCCCCCACACUGGCACUGAGACACGGGCCAGACUCCUACGGGAGGCAGCAGUAGGGAAUAUUGGGCAAUGGGCGGUAGCCUGACCCAGCCAUGCCGCGUGCAGGAAGACGGCGUUCUGCGUUGUAAACUGCUUUUAUACGGGAAUAAACCCCCCGACGUGUCGGGGGCUGAAUGUAUUGUAUGAAUAAGCACCGGCUGACUCCGUGCCAGCAGCCGCGGUAAUACGGAGGGUGCAAGCGUUAUCCGGAUUUAUUGGGUUUAAAGGGUCCGUAGGUGGGACUGUAAGUCAGUGGUGAAAUCUUUCGUCUUAACCGGAAAAUUGCCGUUGAUACUGCGGUUCUUGAGUAUGCUCGAGGUAGGCGGAAUAUGUCAUGUAGCGGUGAAAUGCAUAGAUAUGACAUGGAACACCGAUAGCGAAAGCAGCUUAUCAGAUCAUAACUGAUAUUGAGGGAUGAAAGCGUGGGGAGCGAACAGGAUUAGAUACCCUGGUAGUUUACGCAGUAAACGAUGAUCACUAGACAUUGGCGACAUACAGUCGGUGUCAAAGCGAAAGUAUUAAGUGAUCCACCUGGGGAGUACGAUCGCAAGAUUGAAACUCAAAGGAAUUGACGGGGGCCCGCACAAGUGGUGGAGCAUGUGGUUUAAUUCGAUGAUACGUGAGGAAUCUUACCUGGGCUUAAAUGCAGAACGACAGACUCGGAAACGAGUCCUUCUUCGGACGGUCUGCAAGGUGCUGCAUGGUUGUCGUCAGCUUGUGCCGUGAGGUGUUGGGUUAAGUCCCAUAACGAGCGCAACUUUUAUCACUAGUUGCCAGCGAGUAAUGUCGGGGACUCUAGUGAAACUGCCCGUGCAAGCGGUGAGGAAGGUGGGGAUGAUGUCAAAUCAUCACGGCCCUUACGUCCAGGGCUACACACGUGCUACAAUGGUGAGUACAAAGGGCAGCCACCCCGUGAGGGGGAGCUAAUCUCUAAAGCUCGUCUCAGUUCGGAUUGAAGUCUGCAAUUCGACUUCAUGAAGCUGGAAUUGCUAGUAAUCGUGUAUCAGUUAUGGCGCGGUGAAUACGUUCCCGGGCCUUGUACAUAUCGUUCGUCAAGCCAUGGAAGCCGGGGGUGUUUGAAGUCGGUGAUCGAAAGGAGCCGCCUAGGGCAAAACCGGUAACUGGGGCUAAGUCGUAACAAGGUAGCCGUA